This 906-nucleotide non-coding RNA is filed under the name Dendropsophus triangulum (triangle treefrog). Its description in RNAcentral is "partial 12S ribosomal RNA". It matches the Rfam family "Bacterial small subunit ribosomal RNA". The record is from RNAcentral. Lineage: Eukaryota; Metazoa; Chordata; Amphibia; Anura; Hylidae.
GAUAGUUGCUCUUGAUAUACACAUGCAAGUCUCCGCCCCCCUGUGAAAACGCCCUUUAAUCCCUUAAGGGAUAAGGAGCCGGUAUCAGGCACAAAAUUAGCCCAAGACACCUAGCUACGCCACACCCACACGGGACUUCAGCAGUGAUUAACAUUGAUUAUAAGCGCCAGCUUGAAUCAGUCAAAGUGAAAAGGGCCGGCUAAUCUGGUGCCAGCCGCCGCGGUUACACCACGUGGCCCAAACUGACCUCCUUCGGCGUAAAGCGUGAUUAAAGCACUUUUCUAACUGCAAUUAAACUAAAACUAAGCCGUAACACGCUUGUUUUUAGGAAGCCUAAUAAACGAAAGUCAUUGCACCCCUAAUAACUUGAAUUCACAACAGCUAAGAAACAAACUGGGAUUAGAUACCCCACUAUGCCUAGCCGUAAACUUUAACUUACACCUCCUUCGCCAGGGAACUACGAGCAAAGCUUAAAACCCAAGGGACUUGACGGUACCCCAAAUCCACCUAGAGGAGCCUGUCCUAUAAUCGAUAACCCCCGUUUUACCUCACCCCUUCUAGUUUCUCAGCCUGUAUACCUCCGUCGUCAGCUUACCCCAUGAGCGCUAACUAGUGAGCUUAACGCCCCCACGCCAACACGUCAGGUCAAGGUGCAGCAUAUGAAGCGGAAAGAGAUGGGCUACACUGUCUACUUUAGACUAUACGAAAGACUAUUAUGAAACCUAGUCGGAAGGCGGAUUUAGAAGUAAAAGAAGAUCACCAUGCCUCUUUUAAACUCGGCACUGGGGUGUGUACACACCGCCCGUCACCCUCUUCAAAGCUCUAACACAAGUCUUUGACACAACUCAGCCCCACAGAAGAGGCAAGUCGUAACAUGGUAAGUAUACCGGAAGGUGUACUUGGAAA